Molecule: long non-coding RNA, 2048 nt
Organism: Gasterosteus aculeatus aculeatus (three-spined stickleback)
Lineage: Eukaryota; Metazoa; Chordata; Actinopteri; Perciformes; Gasterosteidae
Source: Ensembl
GAUCACUCUCACAUACAUAAAGAGGGUCGACUUUAUUGCGCGCAGGAGGCAGAGAAGAGGAGGGAGGUGCAGAAUCAGGGACAAGUUCGCUUUUAUAUUUAUUUAUUUUUCGGGGGGGGAAAAAAAACGAGAAGUUUGAAGAGGGCAGCAGAGGGGAGGAGAGAAGGAGGGAGAGAGAGAGAGAGAGAGAGAGAGAGAGAGAGAAUGGGGAAGGAGGAGAACGACUAGAAGAGAGGCGCAGAGAGACGGACGGAUGGAGGAGAAGCGUGCAGCGGCGAGCAGGAGAAACAAAGCGUGCUGACUGAGGACGUGUGCGCGGGCCAUGUGCUCAGGAGCUCCACACUCGAGGAAGCUGGCUGCAGGUCGGGCGUUUUUUUUCACCACGAGUCCGACCGAAUGCAGAUCUCCGGGGGAUGAAGGUGUCGGCGACGGCGUUUUGUCGAGGCGCCCGUGAGCGACGUGCUCCUCUGAAACCUCUCGUUCACGGGCCCGCCACUCUGGGGGAGCGGCGCGAAAGGUCGCCCGGCGACCGGGCCCGAGGGUCAGCGACUGGUUGGCCCGAUUCAUCACAGCUCAUCCCAGAGACGCCGCCGCACCACCAGAGACGCCAGCGUCCUCCUAAGGCGGACCCCCCCCCGCCCCCUCCUGCCGAGGAGAACCGGCCGGCCUUUGGCGGUUCACGGCUGCGUGGCUCCUGCCGGUUGCUCAGUAGGCAGUGUAGAUCCUGUGUAGCAAUCAGCAGCUACAUCUGGCUACUGGGUCUCCGGCGGCUCGGCCCACUUCCCCGGUUCCCAUUGGCCCGGUGGCACAUUCCAAUCCCCUCGAUUGGCUGCGGGGUCGGGGAGGAUGAGGGCGUGGAGGGGGGGGGCUUCAUCCUGCGACCCCACAGACAGGAUGUUCUCUGUGUCACAACUCUACAAGGGGCCCUUGUCGAGGCUUUUUGUGUCGCUGUGGUGUUGUGUGUGUGUUUUUUUUUUUAACUCCUUCCUCUAUCGCCAUUCUUUUAAUUCUCUCCCUCCCUCCCGCUCGCUUUCUCUCCCGUUUGCUCUCCCUUCGUGCUCUUUGUGCACGAACAUUGGUGCAUGUCCUUGGUAAACGCUAUGAAAGUUCAACUUUCAAUGUUCCCGGGGACAGAAAUUUCAAGGGGCGAUUCUUGCCGGAGGAGAGUUUGAAAAGCCUCGGCGGUGAAGAGGUGCUCCUUUGCUCCGUCCUGAACCUGGCAUACAAUGUAGAUUUCUGUGUGGUUAAAUUCAACAGCUACAUUGUCUGCUGGGUUUCUGGCCAGUAACAUAAGCGGCGUUUAUGUAACUUCCGCACAAAAAAAAAAGGUAAGUAUUGAUUUGGUUUUUUUUCUGUCAAUGUGCCGCGAAUGCCCGACCCUGACAAUUCAAUAAAGAGGAAAUAUUUCUGAUUAAUCCUACUGAGUGGUGCGUGCUGUCAUUUGUCGGACUGAAAAUCAGAUUUGAAGAGAAGGAAAUAAACCUGGAAUCUGCAGAAUCUAAAUUGAUUCAGCGUUGCUGCGGCGUCCCAGGAGUUAACCCCGAGCCAGAGAUGCCAGGAAUAUUCCAGUAGCUCAGCACAAAGCCGGCUCGUUGUCUGUCAGGAGGCUGUCAGACGGCUGUCAGAUGGGCUCCUUAUUAGUGGAACACCAGUGUCUUCCAACACACACACACACACACACACACACACCUGGGAUUAUACCAAACUCUUCACACAAACCAACAAUGCUUUUGGAAUGCAUUCAUACCUCGGUGCGCUCCUGUGAAACUUUCUUUCACCUUCCACGAAGCCCCGUAGAGCCGAAAAUGAACUUUUACAUCUGCAUGUUUGUUUUCAUUGAAUUGUGAACACACUCACAUUUAAAAAUGUAAUUUGGCGAGUCUCAUUCAGCUCAUUUCUGGUGGUUCUCUCUCUUUCCUCAGCUCAGUAUGCGUUAAAUAUGACACAUUAAGAAGACUUUAUGUAGUGUUUAUGUAGCAAUUCAUUCAUUUAUUUACUUUCCUUUCAGCACAUGUCUGAGUUUACUUUUCUGUAAUCUCAUUAAAAGC